RNAcentral lists this ribosomal RNA (253 nucleotides) under uncultured bacterium. RNAcentral describes it as "partial 16S ribosomal RNA". It matches the Rfam family "Bacterial small subunit ribosomal RNA", at positions 524 to 776 of the family's 1533-position model. The record is from RNAcentral.
UACGUAGGGUGCGAGCGUUAAUCGGAAUUACUGGGCGUAAAGCGUGCGCAGGCGGUUCGCUAAGACCGAUGUGAAAUCCCCGGGCUUAACCUGGGAACUGCAUUGGUGACUGGCGGGCUAGAGUAUGGCAGAGGGGGGUAGAAUUCCACGUGUAGCAGUGAAAUGCGUAGAGAUGUGGAGGAACACCGAUGGCGAAGGCAGCCCCCUGGGCUAGCACUGACGCUCAGGCACGAAAGCGUGGGGAGCAAACAGG